GAGUCUGUUAAUCAUUUAGAAAGAAAAAAAAAUCACAGUUGGAUGCUCCAUUCAUUUGCCAUCAUUUGUACAUUGUCACCAUUUCUGAGAUCAUUUCCCUUCCCUGGAAAGUCCUCCUAGAGAAAGUUAAAAAAUAGAUUUAUUUACGAGAUGUCCAGGAUGGGCCUAAUACAUGUUUCCCAUGAUAAGCAUAAUCUGCAUGCCAUUUCCUCUCAGGAGGGUGUCUCCACAGUGGAUUAAAUGUCUUGCCAGGCUCAUAUCAUUUUCACAAGCCCCAGAAAGACCGCACAAGUCAAGUCUUGGGAGGUCAAGAUGAACUGCUGAUGAAGAUAAAAUCACUCCCAGGAGAAAGAAAUAUCAGAACGAGAGGGUAUUCCACUAGUUGGCCACCUCCUCCUGUGACUCAUUUGUCUACUAACAGGCUCUCUUUCCUCUCCAGAACUCCAGUGAAGACGGUCCACCUGGUGUGGCAUCUGACCACAGCUUCCAAAGACAACACACUCACUCUGAGAGCCUGAGACGGCGAUAAACACAUCCACUUCUGCUUUCUUGCUACUUGGAACUACAGCCCGGAAAUAGCUCACAGGGAGACAAUCUGACCCCACCCACCUGUGGAAGGCUGCAAGAAAGAAGAAAUUAACACAUCCCCUACCCGAAGCUGGCCAUUCUAGGGGAUAUUUGCAAAACUUAUGGCCUUUUUACUUUACCUCCUCAUCUCCUCCCCACUCUGUGCUGUAAAAGAAACUGGCCUCCAAACGCUGAUAAGAUGGUUUAUCGGAGAUACUAGUCUGCCAUCUUCUCUGUCUGCUGGCUUUCCGAAUAAAGUCGUAUUCCUUUUGCCUCAACACCUCGUCUCCAAUUCAUUGGCCUGUCCUGUGGUGAGCAGUGAGCCUGGACUUGGUAACACAACUACCAUCAACAGAAAGCAGUAAACACUCAACAGCCCUAAGCCAAUCAAGAGCCAAGAGCAAAUAAAGAACCUUCUUAGAAAACUGGCCUUGGGGAGAAGGCAAAUGAACUCAGUAAAGAGUACCAGGAUCUAGUCAGGUUCCAGGAAACCCAGC
This is a long non-coding RNA of Physeter macrocephalus (sperm whale), 1064 nucleotides long. RefSeq lists it as uncharacterized. The record is from RefSeq and is a predicted model, not a curated record. NCBI's taxonomy places the organism in Eukaryota, Metazoa, Chordata, Mammalia, Artiodactyla, Physeteridae. The transcript is spliced from 3 exons.